GAUGAACGCUGGCGGUAUGCUUAACACAUGCAAGUCGAACGGACUCUUCGGAGUUAGUGGCGGACGGGUGAGUAACGCGUGAGAAUCUGGCUUUGGGUUCGGGACAACCACUGGAAACGGUGGCUAAUACCGGAUGUGCCGAGAGGUAAAAGAGAAAUUGCCUGAAGAUGAGCUCGCGUCUGAUUAGCUAGUUGGUGAGGUAAAGGCUCACCAAGGCAGCGAUCAGUAGCUGGUCUGAGAGGAUGACCAGCCACACUGGGACUGAGACACGGCCCAGACUCCUACGGGAGGCAGCAGUGGGGAAUGUUCCGCAAUGGGCGAAAGCCUGACGGAGCAAUACCGCGUGAGGGAAGAAGGCUCUUGGGUUGUAAACCUCUUUUCUUAGGGAAGAACAAAAUGACGGUACCUAAGGAAUCAGCAUCGGCUAACUCCGUG
RNAcentral lists this ribosomal RNA (435 nucleotides) under uncultured bacterium. RNAcentral describes it as "partial 16S ribosomal RNA". It matches the Rfam family "Bacterial small subunit ribosomal RNA", at positions 28 to 507 of the family's 1533-position model. The record is from RNAcentral.